CAUGUAGGCGGAUUAAUAAGUUUGAAGUGAAAUCCUAUAGCUUAACUAUAGAACUGCUUUGAAAACUGUUAAUCUAGAAUGUGGGAGAGGUAGAUGGAAUUUCUGGUGUAGGGUAAAAGUCCGUAGAGAUCAGAAGGAAUACCGAUUGCGAAGGCGAUCUACUGGAACAUUAUUGACGCUGAGAUGCGAAAGCGUGGGGAGCAAACA
This 207-nucleotide ribosomal RNA is filed under the name uncultured bacterium. RNAcentral's name for it is "partial 16S ribosomal RNA". It matches the Rfam family "Bacterial small subunit ribosomal RNA", at positions 568 to 774 of the family's 1533-position model. The record is from RNAcentral.